AUAAACGAGUACACGUCUGUAAACAAACAGGUUUGUAAACCGAAAACUCAAAAAAGCAAACAAACAAUUGAAAAAUGAUGUACUGGCAAAAUAUAAAACGAGAGGGUUGAUGCAGCUAUUAAUGAAGGUCAUACAAAAAGCAAUAAUCCUGAAGAUGUGCCAAUAGUUGUUGUAGUCUUUCAUAGUUGAAGCAAAAAAGUGGAACCAAAUCAUAAAGAUGUGAUACGGUAGGAAUCAGAUGAAGAAGAUUCAACAGAUAUCUUUGUUGUUUGACCUUCAUUAAUAGCUGCAUCAACCCUCUCGUUUUAUAUUUUGCCAGUACAUCAUUUUUCAAUUGUUUGUUUGCUUUUUUGAGUUUUCGGUUUACAAACCUGUUUGUUUACAGACGUGUACUCGUUUAUACUGCUUUGUUGUUUCUUUAGUCAGUUAUGAUGUAGAGGUAGUGAAAUGAGUAUGGAUAUGUUAUCAUUUCAUGCAACAUGUAGUACAGAAUGUAAUAUAAUAAUUAGAAUGCUGAUAUUUA
Long non-coding RNA from Bombus terrestris (buff-tailed bumblebee), 523 nucleotides. RefSeq lists it as uncharacterized. The record is from RefSeq and is a predicted model, not a curated record. NCBI's taxonomy places the organism in Eukaryota, Metazoa, Arthropoda, Insecta, Hymenoptera, Apidae. The transcript has 2 exons.